Molecule: long non-coding RNA, 2091 nt
Filed under: Canis lupus familiaris (dog)
Lineage: Eukaryota; Metazoa; Chordata; Mammalia; Carnivora; Canidae
Description: lncRNA (ENSCAFG00030019526.1)
Source: RNAcentral
GCCUUGGACUGCGGCAUUGUGUAAGCCCUGCUGACAAGGACAGGCUGUGCUCUGAUGUUUGUGUCCCUCUGGCCCGUCCCGGAGACCCCAGCAGAGGUGUGCCCAGCCAUGGCCUCCAAGAGAGAAAAGAAGAGGAAGUGCAUGGCAAAAAUCUUUCAUACAUUCUGAAAAGUGGAGAGGAUGGAACAGCGCGCGCCCACACACGCAGCGGCCGGGGUCCACCCGGCUGGGUCCGCCCUGGCUUCUCAGAAAGCAUCUCGGGGCAAAGCGAGGGCCCAACAUCCUGCUAGGGGCUGCGACCCCGGGGAGGCGUCAAAAAUACAAUCCAGGGAGUGAAUAACCCAGGACGCAACGUGCAAUAAUCCACGCGAUGCGGCGGACGCGAUCCACCACUGGCCACAGCCCCGGCAGGUGCAUCUCCGAGCCACGAUGUAAUGGACUCCGGGUCUCCCUCUGCCUGAGCCGACGGCGGGCUGUAGCUCCUGCUCCUUCCGCACACCGUUCGGCUAGGCCACCUGCCGCACCUGCCGGCUCUAACCUCCCGCAGCGCCAGGACGCAGAGGCACUCGCGUGCUCUCCUCCGGUCCCAUCGUCGUCUCCUUCCAUCUCUUCGACUUUUCCCUCGGUUCAUCUGGGGGCCGUUCUCAAUCUCAUCACAUUUUUUUUGACACUCAACUCUGGGCUCUGCUGACCCUCUCUAGGAUAUACUGUUUCCUGUUUCAUGCAUUUCUGCUCGUGUGGCUACGUGCUCCCUUCCAUGUUUCCUGGAUUUACUCUACUAUUAAUUUUUAUUUUCUUUGAUGUGGUUACCUGUUCGGUGUCUUCUUCGUGUCUCAUGUGAGCACGUGGGAUGGAAGCCCCUGUUCACCCCCCAAGCUGCACACCGACGAGUCUGUGGUGAGACCCUGAGGCUCGAGGGAACGUUGCUAUGUGCUUAUUUCUUCCCCAUCCUGAGCCCACGCUGAUGAGGGGCAGUAAGGGAGACUCUCUCGUGAAUAAAUAAAUAAAAUUAAAAAACAAAACUCUGAGGUCAGGGCAGUCCUAAUCCCCAGGGAUUGCAGGACGGCGGCCAGGGUGUGAGGGGAGUACCGGGGAACCCGCGGAACCCCGCAGGCUGCAGGGCAGAGGCCGAGGCAGGGCAGGCCCCAGCCACUUUGCUGCUCUGCGUCUCGCGGGCUCUAUGCAAAAUGCCUACCUCUGCUUUUCUGGAUGAAUCACGCCUCACUGCCAAUCACCAGCAUCAGAGGUCAGACCCCUCACCCACCCCAACCUUUGCUUCACCUUCUCCACCGGAACCAAGAGCAGAAACCCAGGCAGAAGGGAUGUUGCAGGAUUCGGGUGGCAUUUCUCCCCGCCCCCCACCCCGCCCAGAAAACCUCCGGUUUGCUCUGCAGGCCCUUCAACUGAACAAGCCCAUUGAUAUGAUCUAGAACAGUCUCCCUCCCCUGCUUUUUUUUAUUUUUAAGAUUUUAUUUAUUUAUUCAUGGGAGACAGAGAGAGAGAGAGAGAGAGGCAGAGACACAGGCAGAGGGAGAAGCAGGCUCCAUGCAGGGAGCCCGAUACGGGGCUCGAUCUCGGGAUCCCGGGAUCACGCCCCGGGCCAAGGGCAGAUGCUCAACCGCUGAGCACCCCCCUCCCAGGGAUCCCUAGAACAGUCUCCUUCAAAGCCAACUAAUGGUAGAAGUUACGUGUCCCUACAGAACACCUUCCCACCAACGCCUCCCUCGGUGUCCCAGUGAAUCCCCAGAGACCGUAGCCUGCCUCAGUCGCCCAGAAAACUGACCAUCAUGUGGCUGCACAGCCAUGGGAAUGGACGUGCCACAGACCUGCCUGCACCUUAAACCAGUAAAGACACGACAUUUUAUGUCACGUGUAUUUACACACACACACGUGCGCGCGCACACACAGAUCCCUGACCGUCACAGGCUCCGAUCUGUGUGAAUGCCCAUGCCUGGAGACCACCCAGGACGUGUGACAAACUUCACCCGGAGGCCCAGAAGACACCCCCACCAAGGGAUGCUGUGGCUGGAAGAGGCUGCAGUCGGCAAAGCGGGGUUUGCGGCCGCGGCUGAGCUGUGUUCGGGCUGACCC